RNA transcript from Tarenaya hassleriana, 3072 nucleotides. It is a transcript of the gene named serine/arginine-rich splicing factor RSZ22A, with no coding region annotated. The transcript is spliced from 4 exons. Lineage: Eukaryota; Viridiplantae; Streptophyta; Magnoliopsida; Brassicales; Cleomaceae. The record is from RefSeq and is a predicted model, not a curated record.
GCACUCAAGCUUUCAAUGCACUCAAAAGGCAGUAACUGCAACAUAAAAAAACUAAUCAAAUCAAUCCAACUUUCAAAUAAUUUCCUUGUAAUUUAAUAAAUAACUUACCAUUAGAGGGAUUAUAAACCCCGGGCAAUGCCAUUUUGUCUUUGGUUUCGCACCAAGACUCUUUCGCACUUGAUCAACUAUUCGAUCAAAAGUGUAUCGACCCCACGGAAAUCGUUCACAGAAACGUAAAUCAUCAACCAUGUCGAACAAAUCAUGGCUGAUUUGUUCGGAUGACAGGGCAUGAUCUAAGAUUCCGGCCAUCAAGUAUAGAAUAACCAAUCUCUUACGAUCUGCUACCCUCUGGAUUGGCAUAUAUCUCAAUUUCUCCACCACAUCAUUCAAACAAACCUUCUUACGUCCGAAAGUCUUUUUCCUGAACUCACUCUUUUUGAAGCUCUCUCAUUCUUCUGGAUAUUUUCCACACUUCAAACCACAUAUAAGUGUGUGCUCAAUGAUUGAGUACCUCGCGAGCACACCAUUGAGCACGAACCACAAUUCCUUCUUGUUUUUCGCUUUAACAGAGCGGUUAAUGAGAACUCCCGCAGGCGCCAUCUUUAACUGUGGAUCCCAUUGCGCAUGGAAUAGAUGUUGGAACUGUGAUUAUUUCUCGAAGUACGUCCAUUCGUCCUGUGUCAGUACUUCUUUAAGCGUCUUCAGUGUCUCAUAGGGAUAACACUUCGUAUUGAUCUUUGAAGAAAACUGAAUGUCUUCGAAUUUGUGGACAAAUGGAAGGUGCAAAAUAAAAUAAUUGUUCGUCAUUGUGAUCUUUGUGACCUGGGACCUAGAACCUGUGGCUCAUGUGACCUAUGUGACCCGUGACCCAUGUGACCCAUGACCCGUGACCCCUGACCCAUGUGACUCGUGUGCGGUGUUGUGAGAUAUUAUACUAUUACCAUAUAAAUCUUUGUGACCCAUGUGACCUGUGACUUAGGAAAUCAUUAAACUUGCCAAGGUAUUCUGAAAUCCCACAUCCGCACUCUAACUUUCUAUUUCAAAUUCCUAAAACCCAAAUUAUAUAUUUCAAAACACAAAACCCUAACUUUAUAUUCAGAAAUCCCAAAACUUUAAUUUUCAAUUUCGAAAUCCCUAAACCCUAAAUUCCUAUUUUGAAAUCCCAAACCAUCCAACAAGUUUAAUGAUUUUACUCCAGGAUCAGGUCAUAAAAGAAAAAAACGGAGAAGAAGAUGUAGACAAACCUAUCGUUUCUAAUGGGAGAUCUUUGUCCGACGAUGACGGCGAUGAACCGGCCUGAGACGCAGAUGAAGACGAAGCAGAAAGCACAUGUGUUCUUGGAUACAUGGGUGUUUGAUUUUUCACAGAAAUCACAAGAGAGAUACCGAAAUUAGAAGAAAAAUUGCCUCACUUUUAUGAAAAUCCCGAAAGAGAAAUCACGCAAGAGAGAGAGAUAGAGUUUUCGAAAUGUUGCAAGAGAGAGAGAGAUCGGGUUGCAAGAGAGAGUGGGAGUGUACCGAGGGAGAGAGAGAGAGCGUUUUUUUAUUCUUAAAAAGUUAGUCGUUUUUUAAUCGAAAAGGUAUGUCAUUUUCGUCUUUCAUUUAAAAUUUAGGGAUAUAUAUGUCUUUAGCUCAUUUCAACUUUUAUUUUUUUAGAUUUAUUUUUUGGAGGGUAUGCUAUGAAGUAAGGGUAGCAUUUUAAGGGCAUUUCUGCUAUAUUCCCUUGUUAAUUAUGUAGAUCUGGGUUUGUUCCUUCGAUCCCGUGAGAUCCUUAAAGGAGAAAUUCGCUCUGUUUCUGUUAUUGGCUUCCUUUACGUGUAAAAUGCGUUGGUUUUGCGUUAUGAACGAGGUUUAUUCUCAUGGAUCAGAAUCGAACUAAACGUAUUUGUCGUGGAAGUGAGAAUCAAUUCGAUCUCCCUGACUCAAUUCUUCGUUUGUGCGCUUUGUUUGAUGCGGUUGGCAGGUGUAACAGUAGCUGUGUCACGUGUGUAUGUGGGUAACUUGGAUCCACGAGUUACUGAGCGUGAACUCGAGGAUGAGUUUUGCGAUUAUGGAACCAUCCGUAGUGUUUGGGUUGCUCGAAGACCGCAUGAUUAUGCCUUUAUUGAUUUCGAUGACACGAGAGAUACCCGAGAUGCCAUUCGUGAUUUAGAUGGUGUGCAUAGGUUUCCUUGUCGAAGUCGCUUUCUUUUUGCCGGCAUUCUCAUUUUUUGGAUAUUGAAGAGUGGCAACCUUUGAAGGGAUCCAAAUAGUUUUGGGACAAAUGGCUGUCAUUUCUUAAUUCUUAUAGAGGUUGUUCAUUCAUCGUGUAGUGAUUUGUUUUGUUGCUCUUGGGAAGGCUCUUGAGUGAGUUAUUAUGCAUGUGUGUGUGCUAUAUUGCCUAUGGCAAGCAAGAAUGGAUGGAGUGUGGAACAAUCUCACAACCGUGGUGGCGGCGCCGGUGGGGGUCGAGGCGGCGGCCGUGACCGUGGUGGUUCUGACCUGAAGUGCUAUGAGUGUGGUGAGCCUAGUCACUUUGCAUGUGAAUGUCGUUCUCGUGGUGGCUCUGGUAGGAUGUGCAGCCGUAGUCACAGCCCAAGAUACAUGAGGAGCCCUAGCUAUGGCCGAAGGAGUUACAGCCCUGGUGGAAGGUCUCCAAGGCGACAUAGUCAUUCACCUCGUGGUCGAAGCUACAGCAGGUCACCGGGUUAUCGAGGAUGUGAGGAGGUGCCAUAUGCUAACGGUUCUUUCAUUUCCAUGAUGGGCGAGUUUGGAUCCCUCGGGUCGAAAAUCUUCUUCAUCGUGCUAUUGAGUCGGGUUUUUUUUUUCUUUGGCUGGAAAAUUUGAGAAGAUGAUGAAUGAGCGAAAGCAAAAGGUAAAGUUGCGAACUGUCUGGUUGGAGGCAAGGUUUGGAGUUCCAUGGAACUAACUGCCUUUGGAUCUUUUUUCACAACAUCAUUUUGCACUGGCUGCUCUUUUCUUUGGCUGCACCUCUCCUUUACUUACCUCUUAAUUGAUAAAUUAUUGAGCAAUUUUUUGGUGUUACAUUUAUUUGUUGAAAAAAUAUUAAUGAAGGUUCAUUUUUUUAACUUCA